This 451-nucleotide ribosomal RNA is filed under the name Pichia kudriavzevii. RNAcentral describes it as "partial large subunit ribosomal RNA". It matches the Rfam family "Eukaryotic large subunit ribosomal RNA", at positions 196 to 667 of the family's 3401-position model. Lineage: Eukaryota; Fungi; Ascomycota; Pichiomycetes; Pichiales; Pichiaceae. The record is from RNAcentral.
CAGGGCGCCCAGGAGGGUGAGAGCCCCGUGGGAUGCCGGCGGAAGCAGUGAGGCCCUUCUGACGAGUCGAGUUGUUUGGGAAUGCAGCUCCAAGCGGGUGGUAAAUUCCAUCUAAGGCUAAAUACUGGCGAGAGACCGAUAGCGAACAAGUACUGUGAAGGAAAGAUGAAAAGCACUUUGAAAAGAGAGUGAAACAGCACGUGAAAUUGUUGAAAGGGAAGGGUAUUGCGCCCGACAUGGGGAUUGCGCACCGCUGCCUCUCGUGGGCGGCGCUCUGGGCUUUCCCUGGGCCAGCAUCGGUUCUUGCUGCAGGAGAAGGGGUUCUGGAACGUGGCUCUUCGGAGUGUUAUAGCCAGGGCCAGAUGCUGCGUGCGGGGACCGAGGACUGCGGCCGUGUAGGUCACGGAUGCUGGCAGAACGGCGCAACACCGCCCGUCUUGAAACACGGACC